GAUGAACGCUAGCUACAGGCUUAACACAUGCAAGUCGAGGGGAGACGAUAGAGAAAGCUUGCUUUUUCUAGGCGUCGACCGGCGCACGGGUGAGUAACGCGUAUCCAACCUGCCCAUCACUUGGGGAUAACCUUGCGAAAGUAAGACUAAUACCCAAUGACGUCUCUAGAAGACAUCUGAAAGGGAUUAAAGAUUUAUCGGUGAUGGAUGGGGAUGCGUCUGAUUAGCUUGUUGGCGGGGUAACGGCCCACCAAGGCGACGAUCAGUAGGGGUGCUGAGAGGAAGGUCCCCCACAUUGGAACUGAGACACGGUCCAAACUCCUACGGGAGGCAGCAGUGAGGAAUAUUGGUCAAUGGACGAGAGUCUGAACCAGCCAAGUAGCGUGCAGGAUGACGGCCCUAUGGGUUGUAAACUGCUUUUAUAAGGGAAUAAAGUGAGAGUCGUGACUCUUUUUGCAUGUACCUUAUGAAUAAGGACCGGCUAAUUCCGUGCCAGCAGCCGCGGUAA
This 508-nucleotide ribosomal RNA is filed under the name uncultured bacterium. Its description in RNAcentral is "partial 16S ribosomal RNA". It matches the Rfam family "Bacterial small subunit ribosomal RNA", at positions 28 to 523 of the family's 1533-position model. The record is from RNAcentral.